UGGUCCCAGGCUACGGGUGGCGCCCGGUAGCAUCACGAGCACUUGCGGCUCCAGGAGAGGAAACCGGCGGAAAUCCGGUGCGGUCGCGCCACUGUGAGCUCGCCGAACCCGGCGGGCGAGCCAGACCCUCGCCUGCCGCCCGAUCCAGAC
RNAcentral lists this non-coding RNA (150 nucleotides) under Rhodococcus sp. (in: high G+C Gram-positive bacteria). Lineage: Bacteria; Bacillati; Actinomycetota; Actinomycetes; Mycobacteriales; Nocardiaceae. The record is from RNAcentral.